CCCUAUGGGGUGCAGCAGGUGGAAGAUCCCGUUGGGAUUCUUGAUCGUGGCCGACCAGCUGCCGGCAAUGAUCGUCGCCGACGGGCCCGCCCCUCCGGGCGAGCAGGACAGCGAGUCGACGUAGCACUUCGCCGGCGAGCCCAGGGCGCAGAGGUCGUGCCAGGUCGUCCCGUCAUAGACCUCGAGCUUGUAGCAGGACGUCUUGACCUUGGCCAGGAGCUCGUCCGAGGUCACGGGCGAGAUCGCCUGCAUCAGGCAACCUCUUUCAGGGUCAUGCUGACGCGAUAAAGGACCUCGUCCGUGUGGAUGUCGAUCAGGGGCUCGCGCUUGUAGGCCGCGAUCACGACCGUGUACCAGGUCUCGCUAUCCCAGGUGUUCUGAAAAUGGAGGCUCGUUUUGAACUUCCUGAGCCACUCGAAGUCCUCGAGCUUGGCGGGGGAGC
RNAcentral lists this ribosomal RNA (442 nucleotides) under uncultured prokaryote. Its description in RNAcentral is "partial 16S ribosomal RNA". The record is from RNAcentral.